GGGUGCAGCGGGUCGUGUGCGCUGCAGGCAGCUGGAUGGUCGGGCCGCCAUCC
This 53-nucleotide non-coding RNA is filed under the name unclassified sequences. RNAcentral describes it as "Li+-I sequence". It matches the Rfam family "nhaA-I RNA". Rfam says of the family: Acidobacteria, Alphaproteobacteria, Betaproteobacteria and Gammaproteobacteria, Verrucomicrobia, cand. division NC10. Downstream gene The record is from Rfam by way of RNAcentral.